Molecule: RNA transcript, 1977 nt
Organism: Myxocyprinus asiaticus (Chinese sucker)
Lineage: Eukaryota; Metazoa; Chordata; Actinopteri; Cypriniformes; Catostomidae
Gene name: phytanoyl-CoA hydroxylase-interacting protein-like
Exons: 11
Source: RefSeq, a predicted model, not a curated record
GAAAUUGAGAAUUAACGGGAGUGUAGUCUGUAAUCUCGUUACAUAACGCGUCACUGAAUGCGUUGUCCGUUCAUUCGCGUUUAUUCGUUAUCCCGCCACCUGACACACCGUGACGCGGUUUCCACCACAACGCCAGGGAAAAGAAAAGAGAGACAGCUGGGUCAACACAGAGCACCAUACUCUCCCUCUUUUCUGAAGAAUAUUUCCAAAGAGACAUCCACGAGCCUCUGAAGACAUGGAGGCGCCGGGUUUGGCACACGGGAUCGCGAGCCCUCUGAGCCCGCGCAAGGGCAUGAUAAAGAACGUGAGCCUGGAGUCUCUCCAGUUGUGCGAGAGAGACGGUAAGCCAGAGGACAGUGGUGUGGUAAGAAUGGAGGAGUUACCAGUUCCUCGCAAUAUCAAGAUCAGUAACAUCACCUGUGACUCCUUUAAGAUUUGUUGGGACCUGGACCCUCACACCACAGAGAAGAUCACACAUUACUUCAUUGACCUUAACAAAAAGGAGAACAAGAACUCAAACAAAUUCAAACACAAGGACGUGCCUACUAAGCUUGUUGCUAAGGCGGUCCCGUUGCCCAUGACAGUGCGAGGACAUUGGUUCCUGAGUCCACGGACAGAGUACACAGUUGCCGUGCAAACAGCAUCCAAGCAGAGCGAUGGAGACUAUGCCAUAUCAGAAUGGAGUGAUAUUGUCGAGUUCUGUACAGCAGAUUAUUCAUCAGUGCAUUUGACGCAGCUGUUGCAGAAGGCUGAUGUGAUUGCUGGCAGGAUGCUCAAGUUCUCUGUCUUUUAUCGAAAUCAGCACGAGGAGUACUUUCAACACUGCAGAGAUGUACUUAGAGGACAAAUGAUGCCUUCGGUAAAGGACAACAGUGGUAGUCAUGGCUCCCCUCUGAGUGGUAAACUGGAGGGGAUUGUCUUCAGUUGUAACACUGAGUUUAACACAGGUGUGAUAUGCAACAUGGAGAGGAUAAUUUUCAGCUUCUUGCUCAUAGUGACUGGGAGAUUGCUUACUGUGCUGGCCCAUCAUUCUGACACUCAGCUGGGUAGUUCUGUCACUCUUCCCUGCCAGGACAGUAACUACAGAGACAUACCAGCAGAUCUUCUGGACAUCCACUGGUGGACUGGAGAACAUCUAGUCAUGCGAUUUCAGUUUGGCAGAAUCAUUCAGGGCAGCAGAUAUACUAACAGACCAGAUCUGUCUACAGACGGCCUCAGAAAUUGAGAUUUCUCUCUCUCAAUCACUCACAUAGAGUACAGUGACAGCGGCCGAUACCGAUGUGUGUUGACUAGAAAGGGACAGGAAAUUGUUCUUGGAGAGCUUGAAUUUGAGGUUAAAGUCCCCAGAUUUCCAGGUGCUCUGUUUGUUGAAUUUGGGCAGAGAGUCAUUUUGUCUUGUUUCGUCCAUGUUGAUUGGUCAGGCUCGGAAGCCGCAUUGUGCAAUGAAAGAGAUGGACUUAGGUGGUGCUUCAGUGGAAAUCUGGAUCUCUGUUUGUGGAUCCAAUGUGUGAAGGCAGAGUGUCAGAUCACAAGGAGAGAAUCAUACAUGGUGACAUUUCUCUUAUUUUUACCAACACUCACCCAGAUGACCAGGGCUACUAUGUGUGCUUCUUCUAGAAAGAUGACAACAUCAGACCUUCAGCAAUCACUAAUCUCACUAUCACAAAGCACAUGUAAAGGAUUAAUGCAUCAUCUGGGUCACAGUUACACCUCUCUCUUCCCAGAACUAAGACAACCAUCUUUGUUGGACCUUUAAGUCUGCUAGCAGCUUCACCAGUCAUAGGUGUUCUACUACUACUUCUAGCAUCCUUUGGAUAUAUUCAUUAUAAAAAAUGGAUCCGAACAAUAUCCUUGGAUCAAAAAGAAAUGGAGAUGUAUCUCUGCAGCCUACAGAAGUCAUCACUAAUAAAGACUCUAGCAGUGUUAAUAAAAGUGCUGUCAUAUAACUAUUGAGGGCACACAUGUAUGUGUGUGUGU